UGGGGAAUUUUCCGCCAUGGGGGGAACCCUGACGGAGCAACGCCGCGUGCGGGAGGACGGCCUGUGGGUUGUAAACCGCUUUUCUCUAGGAAGAAGGUCUGACGGUACUAGAGGAAUCAGCAUCGGCUAACUCCGUGCCAGCAGCCGCGGUAAGACGGAGGAUGCAAGCAUUUUCCGGAAUUAUUGGGCGUAAAGCGUCCGUAGGCGGUUUAUCAAGUCAGUUGUUAAAGACUGCAGCUCAACUGUGGGCGAGCAACUGAAACUGAUUAACUAGAGUGGUGUAGGGGUAGAGGGAAUUCCCAGUGUAGCGGUGAAAUGCGUAGAUAUUGGGAAGAACACCAGUGGCGAAGGCGCUCUACUGGGCCGUAACUGACGCUGAGGGACGAAAGCUAGGGGAGCGAAAGGGAUUAGAUACCCCCGUAGUCC
Molecule: ribosomal RNA, 426 nt
Filed under: uncultured prokaryote
Description: bacterial SSU rRNA
Rfam family: Bacterial small subunit ribosomal RNA
Source: RNAcentral